Molecule: long non-coding RNA, 552 nt
Organism: Stegostoma tigrinum
Lineage: Eukaryota; Metazoa; Chordata; Chondrichthyes; Orectolobiformes; Stegostomatidae
Exons: 4
Source: RefSeq, a predicted model, not a curated record
UACAAAUAGAAGCCUCUGGGUUUAUUCUGUGGCACAAUUGUGAAAUAACUAGACCACCUUAUUGAGGAUGAUAAUACUCUAUGUUCAGUCUCCAGAUUUUUUCAAAUGAAAUGAAUAGAUAAUUGGAACUGCAGAUGCUGGAGAAUCCAAGACAAACAUGAUGAAAGGUCUAGUCUCAAAAUGUCAACUUUCCUGCUCCAAUGGUGCUUGGCCUGCUGUGUUCAUCCAGCUCUAUACGUUGGUUUAUGACAUAGCUCUGAUACUUUUAAUAUCCGAAUUUGAAGGAUGAUGUUGGUGGACGAGAAUAACAGACAUUGGCUCCAGCAGUAAAUUUUGGAAGUGCCAUCUUCAGGGAGCUGGGAAGAUCCACCUGGAGUAUCUCAACAGUGCAGAAGGAGGCCAUUCAGCUCAUCAUGCAAGCACCAGCUCUCCAAUCAAGCAUCAUUACAGUGUGAAAAUCUCUUGUUGUUACUCCAUACCCUUGCACGCUAUUUCUGUCCAAAUAAUUAUCAAAUGCCCUUUUGAAUGCUGUAAAUAAUAAAAGAAAUAGCU